CGGAGCCUUCUCACUUGCUGGCUUCGUGGUCACAGCAGGCGGCUUUCCCUCGCUCUCUCCCUCGCUCGUGUGUUUGUUCAUUGGACCUCUCUGCUGCUGCUGGCCGGGGCUAAAUGCUGAGAUACUGAGAUGAAGAUGACAGAGACCCUGCUCUCAAAUGGCUCACGGCCAGGUCGGGGAGGCAGACAGCUAACUGACCCACUUCCUAAUGGUUCAGUCUGAACAGUUUUUUUAUCUUCUGGGGGUACAGUGAGCAUCCUAUUUGGGACCAGUUCAGAAAGUUUUGACUGUCACAAAGAAGAGUUUGCUGCGAUGGGCAGUGGGGAGCCAAGGAAGGCUCUUGAGUGGGAGAAUGGCAUGAUUAAAGAAGUUCCCUCUAAUCUGCUGUGAGGAGCAAACGUGGCAGCAGAGAGACCAGUGUGGAGGCUGUAGGUGAGGAUGGCGGUGGAGCUGGACAGAAGCGGACGAUUCAGGACAGACAGUGGAGGAAACACCAGGAACUCCGGAGAGACCUUCACUGAGUUCUGGCGAAACGAGAAAUGCCAAGCACAGGGCAUGUGGAACACACCACAGAGCUACCAUCAACACAAGCCAGUCCUGGGGAAAGUCUACAGAUGCUGCCACAGCAUGGCUGGGUGAGCGGCGUAUAGGUCUACACCUGGGAUCUGAACCUGCAAACCCGGCCCACUGACUCAGAGUUCCUGAACUUAACCACUAUGGCACCAGGCCAACACCAAGUUUUUACAAAGAUGGGCAAGACAAAAUAUAGUGUCUAUGGACACACACAGAGUAAUUGCUGAGCUCCGAGUCUGUGCCAGGCGCCGGGGGCCACAGCGGCUGGUGAGAGACAUGUUCCUGCCCUCACGGGGCCCAGAGGCCGACAAGUGGGACAAGGCAGAGAACCAGGAACCGCUCCUGCCAGGACCCUUAGGGACUCUGGGUAAAACGUGACAGGUAGCUUUGUACAUGGUCGCAGGAUGUGAGGGAAAUCCUACAGCCUUCAGA
RNAcentral lists this long non-coding RNA (1005 nucleotides) under Equus caballus (horse). RNAcentral's name for it is "lncRNA (ENSECAG00000052646.1)". Lineage: Eukaryota; Metazoa; Chordata; Mammalia; Perissodactyla; Equidae. The record is from RNAcentral.